AGUUUGAUCAUGGCUCAGGACGAACGCUGGCGGUGUGCUUCACACAUGCAAGUCGAACGAGGUAGCAAUACCUAGUGGCGGACGGGUGAGUAACGCGUGGGAAUCUGCCUUUAGAUGGGGGAUAACGGGUCGAAAGACUCGCUAAUACCGCAUAUGACGAAAGUUGAAAGGAGUAAUCCGUCUAAAGAUGAGCCCGCGUCCGAUUAGCUAGUUGGUAGAGUAAAAGCCUACCAAGGCGACGAUCGGUAGCUGGUCUGAGAGGAUGAUCAGCCACAAUGGGACUGAGACACGGCCCAUACUCCUACGGGAGGCAGCAGUGGGGAAUUUUACGCAAUGGGCGAAAGCCUGACGUAGCGACACCGCGUGAGCGAAGAAGUUCCCCUUGGGGUGUAAAGCUCUGUCAGCUGGAACGAAAAAAAUGACGGUACCAGCAGAGGAAGCAUCGGCUAACUACGUG
Molecule: ribosomal RNA, 457 nt
Filed under: uncultured bacterium
Lineage: Bacteria
Description: bacterial SSU rRNA
Rfam family: Bacterial small subunit ribosomal RNA
Source: RNAcentral